Molecule: long non-coding RNA, 1202 nt
Filed under: Nicotiana benthamiana
Lineage: Eukaryota; Viridiplantae; Streptophyta; Magnoliopsida; Solanales; Solanaceae
Description: long non-coding RNA (NBEN_LNC031607)
Source: RNAcentral
AAUGUUUGUUUUCAUUUAGUUUGGUUAUAGCUGAGUUGAUUUGUAAUUACAGGGGUAUUGAGGGUUGUUUGGUCAUUGGUAUGUAAAGGAUAUAUUCUGUUAUGAAGGAAGCUUCUAGAGGAUAAGGGGAGGUCACAUGUGAGGAAUUGGGGUGAAAUUAGAGGUUUUAUCUAGGGAGAGGGAUAACCUUACUCAGCUGGCUAUAAAAGCAUGUUUUUACUUCAGAAAAGGGGAGAGCUACAAUUCUAAAAUUCACAAAAAUCUCUCUUAGAUCUUCACUUUAGAAAAAAGAAGAAGAAGAAAACAAGUUUGAAAAGCAAAAAAACAAAAAACAAAAUAAAUUCUCUCCAAGUUCUUUAGAUGAAAUAAUAAAAAUAGACCACAAUUUUCCUCCAGUUCAUAGGUCUACGAAAAAAAACCAAAGCAGACCAAAUUCAAUAGAAAACAAAAAAAAUGCGCUGUUUCAUCUAGCUGAUCUCUAGUUCUAGAACUGGAUCUCCAUUUUAGUUAGGUGUUCUGGUGAUUUGGAGUGCUAAAGGUGUUUCGAGUCGAUUCCAAGCGACUUUAGGUAUAAUUGAUAUAGCUCGAGUAAAGUUUGUGUUAGCUGGAGAUUUCAGAGGUGUUUGGUGUCCAAUUUUGAAUUUUUGUGGUUAAUUUGGGGUGCUAUAUUGAAUGGAUCUGUUACUCCUGAUUGAUUUAAAUGCUCCGGGUUACUGUUUUUUGUUUUUUGGGUUGUUUUGAAUAUCAAUCGUCUACUACUCGAUCACUGCCUUAGCUGACUUCCUAUUCUCAAUUUCUAUUAUGCUUCAGGUACAUGUUCUGAACCUCAUGUGUGGAAUUUCAGUUGAAAUAAAAAGGAAAUUGAGGCUUGCUGCUGUAGAUCUGUUGUUUAAACAACUUUUCUGUGCUUUAGUUCUAUUUUGUGAUUUGGUUGGCUAUUCAAUGUAGUUUAAAAUUUGGACUGUAAUUAGGAUUAUUGUUGUAAUAGAACUAUUGAAUUGAUUCCUUAAAUGUUGAAAGGUAUUUAGUUCGAUAGACUCAUGUACUUAGAGUUUGAAAGCUCAUUGCAUUAUAUGAAUUCGAUAACCAUCGACAGGUAUGAAUUGUGCUCUAAUAUCAUGUUAAAAGGUGACUGCCGUGUAGUCAGAUUUCAAUUCAUGAAUUGCCUGGGCUUCAUUCAUUUUAAGUACAACAAUUUGCCA